Molecule: ribosomal RNA, 1254 nt
Filed under: Cytobacillus firmus
Lineage: Bacteria; Bacillati; Bacillota; Bacilli; Caryophanales; Bacillaceae
Description: bacterial SSU rRNA
Rfam family: Bacterial small subunit ribosomal RNA
Source: RNAcentral
CCUGAAGUCAGCGGCGGACGGGUGAGUAACACGUGGGCAACCUGCCUGUAAGACUGGGAUAACUCCGGGAAACCGGGGCUAAUACCGGAUAACUCUUUUCCUCACAUGAGGAAAAGCUGAAAGAUGGUUUCGGCUAUCACUUACAGAUGGGCCCGCGGCGCAUUAGCUAGUUGGUGAGGUAACGGCUCACCAAGGCCACGAUGCGUAGCCGACCUGAGAGGGUGAUCGGCCACACUGGGACUGAGACACGGCCCAGACUCCUACGGGAGGCAGCAGUAGGGAAUCUUCCGCAAUGGACGAAAGUCUGACGGAGCAACGCCGCGUGAGUGAUGAAGGUUUUCGGAUCGUAAAACUCUGUUGUCAGGGAAGAACAAGUACCGGAGUAACUGCCGGUACCUUGACGGUACCUGACCAGAAAGCCACGGCUAACUACGUGCCAGCAGCCGCGGUAAUACGUAGGUGGCAAGCGUUGUCCGGAAUUAUUGGGCGUAAAGCGCGCGCAGGCGGUUCCUUAAGUCUGAUGUGAAAGCCCCCGGCUCAACCGGGGAGGGUCAUUGGAAACUGGGGAACUUGAGUGCAGAAGAGAAGAGUGGAAUUCCACGUGUAGCGGUGAAAUGCGUAGAGAUGUGGAGGAACACCAGUGGCGAAGGAGACUCUUUGGUCUGUAACUGACGUUGAGGCGCGAAAGCGUGGGGAGCAAACAGGAUUAGAUACCCUGGUAGUCCACGCCGUAAACGAUGAGUGCUAAGUGUUAGAGGGUUUCCGCCCUUUAGUGCUGCAGCAAACGCAUUAAGCACUCCGCCUGGGGAGUACGGCCGCAAGGCUGAAACUCAAAGGAAUUGACGGGGGCCCGCACAAGCGGUGGAGCAUGUGGUUUAAUUGGAAGCAACGCGAAGAACCUUACCAGGUCUUGACAUCUCCUGACAACCCUAGAGAUAGGGCGUUCCCCUUCGGGGGACAGGAUGACAGGUGGUGCAUGGUUGUCGUCAGUUCGUGUCGUGAGAUGUUGGGUUAAGUCCCGCAACGAGCGCAACCCUUGAUUUUAGUUGCCAGCAUUCAGUUGGGCACUCUAAGGUGACUGCCGGUGACAAACCGGAGGAAGGUGGGGAUGACGUCAAAUCAUCAUGCCCCUUAUGACUUGGGCUACACACGUGCUACAAUGGAUGGUACAAAGGGCUGCAAGACCGCGAGGUUAAGCGAAUCCCAUAAAACCAUUCUCAGUUCGGAUUGCAGGCUGCAACUCGCCUGCAUGAA